CUUUUCUUCCCAAGUGAAUCGAGAUUUUUCAUUUCCUUUCAUUUUGAGUUUUUUUGAUCUCCUUGAAAGUAGUACAACUUUCUCCACUGCUUGACAGGAUGAGAUCUAAUUAUUAAUUUAUAUAAAAAAAAAAUGUGCCAGCUUGCUGAAUGCUGCAGUUUCCAACAGAUGGUUCAAGGUUCAUGCUUUUUAUUGGAGUUGAG
This 203-nucleotide unclassified non-coding RNA is filed under the name Hevea brasiliensis (rubber tree). The record is from RNAcentral. Lineage: Eukaryota; Viridiplantae; Streptophyta; Magnoliopsida; Malpighiales; Euphorbiaceae.